This 1651-nucleotide long non-coding RNA is filed under the name Manihot esculenta (cassava). RNAcentral describes it as "long non-coding RNA (MESC_LNC002623)". Lineage: Eukaryota; Viridiplantae; Streptophyta; Magnoliopsida; Malpighiales; Euphorbiaceae. The record is from RNAcentral.
CCCAAUCCAUAUAGGGAACAAUUUUGUAAUUGCAGGUUGCAGUGAUUUGUUCUUCUGGCUUGGGGAGGAAGCGUACAGACAGCAGAGGGAGAAGAUGAUACACCGAAAAUGGAGUCUACUAACUGGUCCAGUGGCAAUCUUGGGCGGGAUCGUUGCAACGGUGGUCGUCGCCAACUUAAUCUUCGUUAAGGAUGUAAAGUUCUCUUCUCUUUUCCUUCGAUUUCCAAACCCUAGAUUUUAUAUUUGAGUUUUGGUAUCGGGGGAAUCGAAGGAUGUAUUUUCAUUUAAGAUUUCGAUUGAAAUUAUUCAUUGGAAUGAUUUGCAUUCGGUUUUAUUCGUCAUUCUUAUAUCUAAAUCGUAGGAGACAUCUAAACCUUUUGGCUAUUCGAUCGUGUCUCUGAUCGUAAUCGUAAAAAUUAGAUUUGUUUAACUUAGUUGUGAAUUAAGAAUAACACUUUUUGAAUGAUUGUGGGAGCUAUCAUUCUUUGUUAAAAUAAAGAGCGUCGCUCUCUGUUUAACUUCUGUUCAAAAAAUAUUAAAUGGAAAAACCUGUUCUGUCAUUCUUUAGAUGUUGUUAAUUAUUAGCUAGGUAGUUGAGUUUCUUUGCUGCAAUGAAAGCGCCAGUAGAGCCAGUAAGCAACGUGCACACCUGCUACACAUUUUUUACUUGAACUAAUUUCUUUAGCUGGAUUAUUUCAUAAACUGCUAGUUAUUCAAACCAAAGCUUUUUAUGCAGGGCGUAACCAUACACAUGCUAACACAUUGCGAUAUAUUUGAAAUUUGCAGGACCCAUUUCUUAAACCAAAGAAAAAGAACCAAGAUUCACCACCAUCAACCAAAUAGAACAGAAGCAAAGUGAAUUGCUUAAUGGAUGUGUUGUAAGCUUUUCAGGUGGUUUGUGUUUGUUGAUUAUUUUUCUAGCGAAACAAAUGUUUAAGCUGCAUUUUGGUACAAGGCUCUUCUUAGUUCAAUAAAGUGGAGUUCAUGAUCAAGUUUAGUAAUUUCUCUUCAUUAUGUUCACCAAAUUGCUGUUGUUAAAUCUUGAUUGAGCUACCAUGAGAGCAAGAAAAAGCAAAAUUCAGCUGUUUUUCCUUGUUCAGUAAUGAUAAUUUUUGGGGUAGAUUGCCGAGUAGGAAUACUAUGAAUUUCUGCGUCGUGUUAGCGUAUAUCCACUUUUAAUUCAUCAAGAAUGGUUAUUAAUAAUUGAUAUGGUAAAUUUUAUUCUCUUAAAAAGAAAAAUCUUAGUAUCUUCUGGGUAUAUGAUUCACUGGUAAACGUUAUUAUUAUUAUUAUGAUUGCCUUUCAAUCCUGAGAAAGACUCCAACCCCCCUUUUCAUAGGCUGGAUGUAGCUAUUUCCACUACUCCAUGAUAAGCUUGCGUUUGAAUUAACCUUCACUGCGACAGGUGAUGAGUUGUGACUACGGUUAGGUGUGAAAAAAUAUCUUUCAUUUGACCAUCAAUGCAUGUGAUUUACAUAAAGUUAACACGUAAUUUUUCUGUAUGUUUCAGGGGAAAAUAAUCUAAGGAGUAAUUUUUCCUGAAGAAAAAGGGAAAGAGGUAAAAAUAUGAUGUAUAAACAAUGGUACAAUGAAAUAAUAUGCCCCAAAGAAUCACAAUCUCUCCCUUCACAUAUGCGAACUGCCUGGUGAG